GUCUCUGUAGCGUAAUAGAUAUCGCGUUUGAUUUCUGGUCAAAAGGUCGUGGGUUGGAAUCCCAUUUGGGAUG
This is a non-coding RNA of Trichonephila clavipes, 73 nucleotides long. The record is from the annotation of a GenBank genome assembly. Lineage: Eukaryota; Metazoa; Arthropoda; Arachnida; Araneae; Nephilidae.